Molecule: ribosomal RNA, 562 nt
Filed under: uncultured eukaryote
Lineage: Eukaryota
Description: SSU rRNA
Rfam family: Eukaryotic small subunit ribosomal RNA
Source: RNAcentral
GGCGGGCAGCUUCCCGGAAACGAAAGUUUUUCGGUUCCGGGGGAAGUAUGGUUGCAAAGCUGAAACUUAAAGAAAUUGACGGAAGGGCACCACCAGGAGUGGAGCCUGCGGCUUAAUUUGACUCAACACGGGAAAACUCACCUGGCCCGGACACCGUGAGGAUUGACAGAUUGAGAGCUCUUUCUUGAUUCGGUGGUUGGUGGUGCAUGGCCGUUCUUAGUUGGUGGAGUGAUUUGUCUGGUUUAUUCCGAUAACGAGCGAGACUCUAGCCUACUAAAUAGUUACUGGAUAAUUGCGUCCAGAAGGCUUCUUAGAGGGACAAGCGGUGUUCAGCCGCACGAAGCUGAGCAAUAACAGGUCUGUGAUGCCCUUAGAUGUCCAGGGCUGCACGCGCGCUACACUGGAGGAAUCAGCGUGCUGUAACCAUUGCCGAAAGGCAUUGGUAACCCCUUGAAAAUCCUCCGUGACCGGGAUCGGGAAUUGCAAUUAUUUCCCUUGAACGAGGAAUUCCUAGUAAGUGUGAGUCAUCAGCUCACGUUGAUUACGUCCCUGCCCUUUGUAC